GACGAACGCUGGCGGCGUGCUUAACACAUGCAAGUCGAACGGUAAGGCCCUUGGGGGUACACGAGUGGCGAACGGGUGAGUAACACGUGGGUGAUCUGCCCUGCACUUCGGGAUAAGCCUGGGAAACUGGGUCUAAUACCGGAUAGGACCACUGCCUGCAUGGGUGGUGGUGGAAAGCUUUUGCGGUGUGGGAUGGGCCCGCGGCCUAUCGGCUUGUUGGUGGGGUGAUGGCCUACCAAGGCGACGACGGGUAGCCGGCCUGAGAGGGUGACCGGCCACACUGGGACUGAGAUACGGCCCAGACUCCGACGGGAGGCAGCAGUGGGGAAUAUUGCACAAUGGGCGCAAGCCUGAUGCAGCGACGCCGCGUGAGGGAUGACGGCCUUCGGGUUGUAAACCUCUUUCAGCACCGACGAAGCGCAAGUGACGGUAGGUGCAGAAGAAGGACCGGCCAACUACGUGCCAGCCGCCGCAGUAA
This 478-nucleotide ribosomal RNA is filed under the name uncultured bacterium. RNAcentral's name for it is "partial 16S ribosomal RNA". It matches the Rfam family "Bacterial small subunit ribosomal RNA", at positions 28 to 523 of the family's 1533-position model. The record is from RNAcentral.